GGCCGCCGAUUGAGGCCCGUAGAUCCGCCGAUUAUUUUUUUUUCUGUCAGUAAAAUGGCUAAAAAUUACCCGUUUUCCUUCGAUUUCCUUACUUUAAGAAACAUCAGUAUUGCUUGAACCUGGAAGCAAUUUUAUGCAAAAACAAUCUGAGAUUGCUUUUUGGGUUGAGCAAGGGCUACGUCUUGAAUACCGUACUUUGACCUAUAAUUAUUAACAUUAAAUACAAUGUGACCGCGGAUUUUUUUCUUAAUAAAAUCGGUGGCCGUAAAAAUUACCCGUUUUUCUUCGAUUUCCUUUCUUUAAGAAACAUCAGUAUUGCUGGAUCCUGGAAGCAAUUUUUAUGCAAACAAUUAUUAUCUGUAUUUAAAGAUAUUUUUGUAAGAAAUCAAACUGGUAAGUUAAAAAAAACAUAUAAAGCAAGAUCAUAGAACGCAAGAUAUUUUUUUUUGACGAGAAC
This 457-nucleotide long non-coding RNA is filed under the name Mytilus galloprovincialis (Mediterranean mussel). Lineage: Eukaryota; Metazoa; Mollusca; Bivalvia; Mytilida; Mytilidae. The record is from RNAcentral.